Molecule: transfer RNA, 75 nt
Filed under: Candidatus Uhrbacteria bacterium RIFCSPHIGHO2_01_FULL_47_10
Lineage: Bacteria; Candidatus Uhriibacteriota
Also listed under: 8 other names
Description: tRNA-Glu
Rfam family: tRNA
About the family: Transfer RNA (tRNA) molecules are approximately 80 nucleotides in length. Their secondary structure includes four short double-helical elements and three loops (D, anti-codon, and T loops). Further hydrogen bonds mediate the characteristic L-shaped molecular structure. tRNAs have two regions of fundamental functional importance: the anti-codon, which is responsible for specific mRNA codon recognition, and the 3' end, to which the tRNAs corresponding amino acid is attached (by aminoacyl-tRNA synthetases). tRNAs cope with the degeneracy of the genetic code in two manners: having more than one tRNA (with a specific anti-codon) for a particular amino acid; and 'wobble' base-pairing, i.e. permitting non-standard base-pairing at the 3rd anti-codon position.
Source: RNAcentral
GGCCCCAUCGUCUAAUGGUUAGGACAUCAGGUUUUCAUCCUGGUAACAGGGGUUCAAUUCCCCUUGGGGUCACCA